Molecule: ribosomal RNA, 464 nt
Filed under: Vreelandella stevensii
Lineage: Bacteria; Pseudomonadati; Pseudomonadota; Gammaproteobacteria; Oceanospirillales; Halomonadaceae
Description: partial 16S ribosomal RNA
Rfam family: Bacterial small subunit ribosomal RNA
Source: RNAcentral
CCUACGGGCGGCUGCAGUGGGGAAUAUUGGACAAUGGGCGAAAGCCUGAUCCAGCCAUGCCGCGUGUGUGAAGAAGGCCUUCGGGUUGUAAAGCACUUUCAGUGGGGAAGAAAGCCUUGGGGCUAAUACCCUCGAGGAAGGACAUCACCACAGAAGAAGCACCGGCUAACUCCGUGCCAGCAGCCGCGGUAAUACGGAGGGUGCGAGCGUUAAUCGGAAUUACUGGGCGUAAAGCGCGCGUAGGCGGUCUGAUAAGCCGGUUGUGAAAGCCCCGGGCUCAACCUGGGAACGGCAUCCGGAACUGUCAGGCUAGAGUGCAGGAGAGGAAGGUAGAAUUCCCGGUGUAGCGGUGAAAUGCGUAGAGAUCGGGAGGAAUACCAGUGGCGAAGGCGGCCUUCUGGACUGACACUGACGCUGAGGUGCGAAAGCGUGGGUAGCAAACAGGAUUAGAUACCCCGGUAGUC